RNAcentral lists this unclassified non-coding RNA (377 nucleotides) under uncultured Verticillium. Its description in RNAcentral is "sequence contains ITS2". The stretch from base 1 to 154 matches the Rfam family "5.8S ribosomal RNA". Lineage: Eukaryota; Fungi; Ascomycota; Sordariomycetes; Hypocreales. The record is from RNAcentral.
AACUUUUGACAACGGAUCUCUUGGUUCUGGCAUCGCUGAAGAACGCAGCGAAAUGCGAUAAGUAAUGUGAAUUGCAGAAUUCAGUGCAUCAUCGAAUCUUUGAACGCACAUUGCGCCCGCCAGCAUUCUGGCGGGCAUGCGUGUUCGAGCGUCAUUUCAACCCGCGAGCUCCCUUUGGGGAGCCCGGCGUUGGGGACCGGCAGCUACCGCCGACCCCGAAAUACAGUGGCGGCCCGUCACGGCGACCUCGGCGUAGUAAUCCAACCUCGCACCGGGAACCCGACGCGGCCACGCCGUAAAACACCCCAAUUCUGAACGUUGACCUCGGAUCAGGUAGGAAUACCCGCUGAACUUAAGCAUAUCAAUAAGCGGAGGCU